CUAAAUUGGCCCUAGAUUAGUUUAAUUAUGUAUUUUUAUCAUAUAUUGCACUUAUAGGCGUAUUUGAGUUCAUUGUAGGUUUAUAUUGAUAAAGGCGAAGAAUUGAAGCCAUAAAAGUAGAACGGUGUAUGAAGAAAAGAAGGCUCAGAUUACAUUGAGCGUUCGAACGCCCAAGCAAAGGGGAAACCAGCGUUCGAACGCUGUGAAGAAAUCUGGGAAUUUUGUGAAGAACGUUCGAACGCCUGACCAAGAAGAAUUUGGGCGUCCGAACGCCAAGAGGAAAAUUGAUGAAGACCGUUCGAACGCCCCUGCUUACAGUUCGAAAAGUGCGAGAGUUGAAUUAGAGAGUUCGAACGCAUCUGCUUACAGUUCGAAAAAUGCGAGACUUAAAAGUUGG
RNAcentral lists this long non-coding RNA (397 nucleotides) under Actinidia chinensis (golden kiwifruit). RNAcentral's name for it is "long non-coding RNA (ACHI_LNC002179)". The record is from RNAcentral. Lineage: Eukaryota; Viridiplantae; Streptophyta; Magnoliopsida; Ericales; Actinidiaceae.